CCUACGGGUGGCUGCAGUAGGGAAUUUUGGUCAAUGGGGGCAACCCUGACCGAGCAAAGUCGCGUGAAGGAAGACGGUAUUCGUAAUGUUAAGUUCCUUUAACAGGGGAGAAAGAGACGUUUCACGGUACCUGACGAGUAAGCUCCGGCUAACACCGUGCCAGCAGCCGCGGUAAUACGUAGGGGGCGAGCGGUAGCCGGAAUGAUUGGGCGUAAAGGGUGCGUAGAUGGCAUAGUAAGUCUUUGGGAAAAAUGAUGGGCUCAAACCAGUAGGGCAAAAGAUACUGGAAUGCUAGAGUAUGACAGAGGCAAGUGGAACGAGAGGUGUAGCGGUGAAAUGCGUAGAUAGCUGGAAGAACACCAGUUGCGAAGGCAGCUUGCCGGGGCGAUACUGACACUGAGGCACGAAAGCGUGGGGAUCAAACAGGAUUAGAUACCCGGGUAGUC
RNAcentral lists this ribosomal RNA (446 nucleotides) under uncultured bacterium. RNAcentral describes it as "partial 16S ribosomal RNA". It matches the Rfam family "Bacterial small subunit ribosomal RNA", at positions 338 to 795 of the family's 1533-position model. The record is from RNAcentral.